GAAAAAAUAGGCUUCAAGUUUUCAAAUUCAAAUUCAGUAUUGUGUUAGAAUCUACUUGAAAUCUCUGACACCUAUGUCAUGAACAGUAGGCAUGAGAAGACCUGUUUCUGUUCAUCUUUGUUUCUAUGCCAAAACACUCAACAUAGAGGAUUGUGUGAAGCAAUGAAAGGCUCCUCAGGUUUCUCAUGUUCAUGUAACAUAAAGGAAUUUUUCCUGCGUUGCAAUCUCCGUAUGCCACUUUAAAUAAAGACAGGAAGAUAAUGUUGUAGGAGUAUAAUCAAAGAAAACUGUAGAUAUUUAUCGUUCAGAUGAACAAGCAAAAAAGAGGAAAAGAAUACAGGCAAUGUUGACAAAAAUCAUCCUUAAUGCAGGGGGAGGAGGGAGGAGUGGGGAUCAAAAGAGAAAGCAUAGCCAUUUAUGAGGUUUUCUAUAUGUCACACCUAGGCAAGCAAUACUAUAUAAAAUAUUAAGCAGCUCUAAUGCUGACUGAGAAAAUUUAUAGAGUCUGAAGUACCUGUCUUAAAUCAUAGCCACUGCUUACCUCUGUUUCUCACUCUUUAACCAAGCUUCUCUGCAGGCAUAAGUUGUGCCUCUAUGUUUCUUUGGAUAUUGUGCAAAGACUAAAGCCAUAAAGAAAUGAAAAUAACCAGGGGGAGAAUAUUAAGCAUGGAGAAGAUUGUAGCCAUGAGCAGAUGGAUGCAGGCUGCUGUUGACUGGAGCUGUUUAUUUUGGAUGAUGAGCUUAUUUUCUAUGAAGAGAAAGAUCUGUAGACAUCCAGACUGGAAACCAGAUGGCUUGGAUUGUUUUCUGGAAGGAAGACACCUUGUAGAGAAGAUGAAUUCUUCGCACAUGUAUGAAAGAAGCUCUCUGCACACAAGCUGCUUUACAGUUUUGACUUUACAAAUGAUGUUCUACAAUCUCAAGUCUUUAACCUUCUCCUGAGUUUUUCACAAGCUUUUCAAGGACUUGGGCAAGUUUAAUUUCGAUUAGAAGCCCAAUUACAGUUAUUUCAAAUCAUAUUGAUAUCUUCUUCUUCUUCAAGGUCUUUAUAGUCAGACAGUCUAUAUAUAAUCUGUCCCUGGAGGACGUUCUGUAGUAAUGUUUUCAUCUGAACCAGAAAUUACUUGUUAGUUCAACAUUUCUAGCAAUAGAGACCCCUUUAGCUUUGUUCAUAACAACAUAACUCUCUGG
This 1191-nucleotide long non-coding RNA is filed under the name Oryctolagus cuniculus (rabbit). RNAcentral's name for it is "lncRNA (ENSOCUG00000039233.1)". The record is from RNAcentral. Lineage: Eukaryota; Metazoa; Chordata; Mammalia; Lagomorpha; Leporidae.